CCGGAUAUUGGACGGCCCCCCUUUUUCUUUCUGGAAAAAAUUUUGGUGGGAGAGGGCCCGGGGCCUAUAAGCUUGUGGGGAGGAAAGGCUCCACAAGGGUUUCAAGGGUCCCCGCCUGAGAGGUGACCGGCCACACGGGGAUUGAGACCCGGCCCAGAUUCCUACGGGAGGCAGCAGUGGGGAAUAUUGCACAAUGGGCGCAAGCCUGAUGCAGCAACGCCGCGUGAGGGACGACGGCCUUCGGGUUGUAAACCUCUUUUAGCAGGGAAGAAGCGAAAGUGACGGUACCUGCAGAAAAAGCGCCGGCUAACUACGUGCCAGCAGCCGCGGUAAUACGUAGGGCGCAAGCGUUAUCCGGAAUUAUUGGGCGUAAAGAGCUCGUAGGCGGUUUGUCGCGUCUGCUGUGAAAUCCGGAGGCUCAACCUCCGGCCUGCAGUGGGUACGGGCAGACUAGAGUGCGGUAGGGGAGAUUGGAAUUCCUGGUGUAGCGGUGGAAUGCGCAGAUAUCAGGAGGAACACCGAUGGCGAAGGCAGAUCUCUGGGCCGUAACUGACGCUGAGGAGCGAAAGGGUGGGGAGCAAACAGGCUUAGAUACCCUGGUAGUCCACCCCGUAAACGUUGGGAACUAGUUGUGGGGUCCAUUCCACGGAUUCCGUGACGCAGCUAACGCAUUAAGUUCCCCGCCUGGGGAGUACGGCCGCAAGGCUAAAACUCAAAGGAAUUGACGGGGACCCGCACAAGCGGCGGAGCAUGCGGAUUAAUUCGAUGCAACGCGAAGAACCUUACCAAGGCUUGACAUAUACGAGAACGGGCCAGAAAUGGUCAACUCUUUGGACACUCGUAAACAGGUGGUGCAUGGUUGUCGUCAGCUCGUGUCGUGAGAUGUUGGGUUAAGUCCCGCAACGAGCGCAACCCUCGUUCUAUGUUGCCAGCACGUAAUGGUGGGAACUCAUGGGAUACUGCCGGGGUCAACUCGGAGGAAGGUGGGGAUGACGUCAAAUCAUCAUGCCCCUUAUGUCUUGGGCUUCACGCAUGCUACAAUGGCCGGUACAAAGGGCUGCAAUACCGCGAGGUGGAGCGAAUCCCAAAAAGCCGGUCCCAGUUCGGAUUGAGGUCUGCAACUCGACCUCAUGAAGUCGGAGUCGCUAGUAAUCGCAGAUCAGCAACGCUGCGGUGAAUACGUUCCCGGGUCUUGUACACACCGCCCGUCAAGUCAUGAAAGUCGGUAACACCUGAAGCCGGGGCCUAACCUCUUGUGGAGGCUACGAAA
RNAcentral lists this ribosomal RNA (1270 nucleotides) under Microbacterium maritypicum. RNAcentral describes it as "bacterial SSU rRNA". It matches the Rfam family "Bacterial small subunit ribosomal RNA", at positions 169 to 1458 of the family's 1533-position model. Lineage: Bacteria; Bacillati; Actinomycetota; Actinomycetes; Micrococcales; Microbacteriaceae. The record is from RNAcentral.